Molecule: unclassified non-coding RNA, 283 nt
Filed under: Basidiomycota sp.
Lineage: Eukaryota; Fungi; Basidiomycota
Description: partial contains small subunit ribosomal RNA, internal transcribed spacer 1, and 5.8S ribosomal RNA
Rfam family: Eukaryotic small subunit ribosomal RNA (bases 1-47)
Source: RNAcentral
AAAGUCGUAACAAGGUUUCCGUAGGUGAACCUGCGGAAGGAUCAUUAAUGAAUCUAAACUCGGUCUUCUGUGCUGGUGGCAACACAUGUGCACGUCGAUCGUGAUUCUAUCCUCCUCUCAACCGUCCAAGUGUGUGUUUGGUCGACCUCUGGUCGAAGAGUUGUGGCCCUCGGGCUCGAUUCGUUUCAGAUGCACCUUGGUUAUUUCACCCACUCUGGGUAUCAGAAACAAAGAAAACUAUAUAUAAACUAUACAACUUUCAACAACGGAUCUCUUGGCUCUC